Molecule: long non-coding RNA, 1088 nt
Organism: Felis catus (domestic cat)
Lineage: Eukaryota; Metazoa; Chordata; Mammalia; Carnivora; Felidae
Exons: 2
Source: RefSeq, a predicted model, not a curated record
CGAACCCACGAACCACGAGAUCAUGACCUGAACCGAAGUCAGGCGCUUUACUGACUGAGCCACUCGGGCACCCCGGGAACGUACUUUUUAAACAAAUAUAUGAAGAGUCCACUAUAUGCCCAGAAUUGUACAAAAAUACUUUCCCUAUAAAUAUUUAAAUGUAAUUUUAUCAACAUUUUUGCUGAAUGUAACAGUAAUAAAAUACUAGUAGUUACCAUGUGUUGAGUGCUUCCUAUGUGUUAGGAACAUGCUAAGAAGUCCACAUGCAUCAUCUCAUUAAAUCUCAAACAAUACAUGAGAUAGAGGCGAUCAUCUCCAUUCUCAUGAUGCAAAGAUAGAGGUGAGAGAGUGUUCACACCCAGCCACUUUCCCAAGGGUCUGCUGACUAUCAUAGUAGGGCAAAUCUCUAGAACUCCAAGCCCUGCCUAUGUCUCUCCCCAAGGUCCACAGGUCCUGGGUCUCAAACCUCCUUGCCAUUUCGCCACAGCUACCUUGCUGGCUUUUCUUCCUCUUGUCCUUCUCCUCCAUGACUCAUGGCGACAUAGGUUAACAACAAAUAUUUCUCAGCCUCCCAUGAGUUAAUGAACAGCUAAUAUUCCCAGAUAAUAGCAGCGUCUAAGAAACUGCCCACAGUGGUUUAAAGCAGUUGAUUAUCUUAAGGAGAUUCAAUACGGUAGUCUCCCCACCGACCCCUCAUCUGUGGUUUUGCUUUCCUUCAUUUCAGUUAUCAGUCGGCCGUGUUCUGGAAGCAGAUGAUCCUCCUCCUGGCAUCUUGUCAGAAGGUCAAUAGUUGCCCAUCCCUGCAUCACGGUGCCUGCAUUAUUCACCUCACUUCAUGCCAUCCCGUGGGUAUUUGAUCAUUCUGUAUCAUCGCAAGAAGAAAGGAAUCCAACAAGUGACCCGAGAAACAAGCAGUCAACUGUAGUCCACCUAAAAGAGUUCCCUAAUUAGCUAGUAGGAUUUUCAUACACAGCUGGCCGGACUAUUGAUUGUAAGGUCGUUUUGCAAUAUAUGUCAAAUACCUUGAAAAUACGUAUAUUCCUUUUGAUUAGCAAUUCCAUUCCUACAAAUUAAACCUAAGGCCAUAA